ACGCUCGACACCUACGGGAGGCAGCAGUGGGGAAUAUUGCACAAUGGGGAAACCCUGAUGCAGCGACGCCGCGUGGAGGAAGAAGGUCUUCGGAUUGUAAACUCCUGUUGUUGGGGAAAAGAGGAUGGUACCCAACAAGGAAGUGACGGCUAACUACGUACCAGCAGCCGCGGUAAUCUGAGCGGGCUGGCAAGGC
RNAcentral lists this ribosomal RNA (196 nucleotides) under uncultured bacterium. RNAcentral's name for it is "partial 16S ribosomal RNA". It matches the Rfam family "Bacterial small subunit ribosomal RNA", at positions 328 to 539 of the family's 1533-position model. The record is from RNAcentral.